GACGAACGCUGGCGGCGUGCUUAACACAUGCAAGUCGAACGGUGAAGGGAUCAGCUUGCUGGUUCUGGAUGAGUGGCGAACGGGUGAGUAACACGUGAGUAACCUGCCCCCUUCUUCUGGAUAACCGCAUGAAAGUGUGGCUAAUACGGGAUAUUCUGGGUCUGUCGCAUGACGGGCCCGGGAAAGAUGCGCCUUUGGGUGUUUUUGGUGGGGGAUGGGCUCGCGGCCUAUCAGCUUGUUGGUGGGGUGAUGGCCUACCAAGGCGGGGACGGGUAGCCGGCCUGAGAGGGUGGACGGUCACACUGGGACUGAGACACGGCCCAGACUCCUACGGGAGGCAGCAGUGGGGAAUAUUGCACAAUGGGCGCAAGCCUGAUGCAGCGACGCCGCGUGAGGGAUGGAGGCCUUCGGGUUGUAAACCUCUUUCGCCAGUGAAGCAGGCCCGCCUCGUUUGUGGGUGGGA
This 463-nucleotide ribosomal RNA is filed under the name Actinomyces sp. oral taxon 169. RNAcentral's name for it is "bacterial SSU rRNA". It matches the Rfam family "Bacterial small subunit ribosomal RNA", at positions 28 to 472 of the family's 1533-position model. The record is from RNAcentral. Lineage: Bacteria; Bacillati; Actinomycetota; Actinomycetes; Actinomycetales; Actinomycetaceae.